Small nuclear RNA from Jaculus jaculus (lesser Egyptian jerboa), 107 nucleotides. NCBI's taxonomy places the organism in Eukaryota, Metazoa, Chordata, Mammalia, Rodentia, Dipodidae. The record is from Ensembl.
AUGCUCACUUAGGCACCACAUAUACUAAAACUGGCACAAUACAAAGAGGAUUAGCAUUGCUCCUGCACAAGGAUGACACUCAAAUUCAUAAGGCAUUCCAUAGUUGU